CACCUUAGUUUUUGUGAAACUCCAGGUUUCAAUCUUAAGUGAAAUCUUACACUUAUUAUGUAGCUUAUAUUAAUUGCUCGGGGUCUAGUUUCCCCCCCAUGACUUUUACCUAUGGCAGAGCCCGAGUGUUGCUUAGUUUUCUCUGCACCACCUCUGUGGUGCCUGAAUCCUUGUCCUUAGCUAUUACGUGUUAGGUGUCGAUGUUCUGUUGAAAAUGGGCGUCUCUGUUGUGCGCGGGUGUGAUGGGGUGUGUGUCUAUCUAAUUGCCAUACGUUCGUUAUGUUUUGCUAUAUUCCCGUCUAAUUGCUAGGUAUCCAAGGCACAGAGUGUCCUGGAUCACUGUGCCACUGAUCAGGUAUCAUUGUCUUUUGUCAUUUUCCAUCUUCUAUUUCUCGUUUUGUUUAUCCUUAUUACUCUCCUAGUUUAUUAUGCUAUUUGUCUGUCUCAUAAUUAGCCCGUCUGGCCUCAAUCCCGGCACCCCUAGGCCCAGGCCCUGGAAGUCUGGUAGGGGGGUAAGGAAAGGGUUAGGAGCAGGGGGUAAUGGGCAAUCAGGAUAUGUGGGGUGUGAUUCCUCCCGUAAGGCUCGCGUCAGUCGAUACCCCUGCCGUGUUUCCCGGUGCGUCUCCCUCACGCCGGUAACGGGAGAUUUAUAAGAACCAUGGCAUCCACAGCUCUGCAUGCCUGCUUCCUCGUCCUGUCAGGGUAGCAUGUGCUUCUUCUGCUCCCUGAAUAUCUUCUACUCUGCGAAUCCACUCUUUUCUAGUAGGUACUUCACUCUUUUUCCAGUGGGCUGGUAUGUUGGCCUUGGCGGCAUUAAGCAGGUGUCGUAAUAUCUAUUUCUUGUACGACGAUAUGGGUUGUGUAGAGAUGUGUAACAAUGCCAAUUCCGCAUUCCACUCCGGUAGGUCUCCAAGGAUAAGCUUCACUGUGUCCCUAAUCAUUU
Molecule: non-coding RNA, 943 nt
Organism: Pelobates cultripes (western spadefoot toad)
Lineage: Eukaryota; Metazoa; Chordata; Amphibia; Anura; Pelobatidae
Source: the annotation of a GenBank genome assembly